GCUUUAGAAAGAUAAUAGCUAUCUAUUGGUCUUAGGAACCAAAAACUCUUGGUGCAACUCCAAGCUAAAGCU
RNAcentral lists this transfer RNA (72 nucleotides) under Taeniurops meyeni (blotched fantail ray). RNAcentral's name for it is "Taeniura meyeni (blotched fantail ray) tRNA-Leu". RNAcentral also lists the same sequence under 2 other names. The record is from RNAcentral. Lineage: Eukaryota; Metazoa; Chordata; Chondrichthyes; Myliobatiformes; Dasyatidae.